UGUUUUUUUCUUCCUUUAGAAGUUUCCUCCCAUAAACUUCUUGGCCCCUUAUGCAAACAGACCUCCAAAUGGGCCCCUUUUUUGAUCUAG
RNAcentral lists this small RNA (90 nucleotides) under Otolemur garnettii (small-eared galago). RNAcentral describes it as "Makes More Granules Regulator RNA (mmgR)". It matches the Rfam family "Makes More Granules Regulator RNA (mmgR)". From Rfam's summary of the family: SuhB later renamed mmgR (makes more granules regulator) was a putative non-coding RNA found multiple times in the Agrobacterium tumefaciens genome and related alpha-proteobacteria. Other non-coding RNAs uncovered in the same analysis include: speF, ybhL, metA, and serC. The record is from Rfam by way of RNAcentral. Lineage: Eukaryota; Metazoa; Chordata; Mammalia; Primates; Galagidae.